GAUUCCAUAGUGUAGGGGUUAUCACAUCUGCCUAACACGCAGAAGGUCCCCGGUUCGAGCCCGGGCGGAAUCA
This 73-nucleotide transfer RNA is filed under the name Anneissia japonica. RNAcentral describes it as "tRNA-Val". It matches the Rfam family "tRNA". From Rfam's summary of the family: Transfer RNA (tRNA) molecules are approximately 80 nucleotides in length. Their secondary structure includes four short double-helical elements and three loops (D, anti-codon, and T loops). The record is from RNAcentral. Lineage: Eukaryota; Metazoa; Echinodermata; Crinoidea; Comatulida; Comatulidae.